AAUGCUAUAGUUUAAUUGGUAAAAACGAUACCCUCAUAAGGUGUAGUUGAGGGUUCAAUUCCCUCUGGCAUUA
Non-coding RNA from Monosiga brevicollis, 73 nucleotides. The record is from Rfam. NCBI's taxonomy places the organism in Eukaryota, Choanoflagellata, Craspedida, Salpingoecidae.